Gasterosteus aculeatus aculeatus (three-spined stickleback) is the source of this 381-nucleotide non-coding RNA. The record is from RefSeq and is a predicted model, not a curated record. Lineage: Eukaryota; Metazoa; Chordata; Actinopteri; Perciformes; Gasterosteidae.
CGAUGAAUGUGUGGACAUAGGGCAGACCUGAGGGUUCUGCUCCAAUCCAAAUGCAGAAAGAGACCGCGUGGGUUCUUCGAGGAUGGAGGUCAUACACAAGCGCGUCCUCUUCCAAAACAGUUCAGUACACAGGGAGUAGUCAGCCAGUCCAGGUUAAUCCAGUUCAUUCACCCUGGAUUCCCGUCACUCCCGCCUGGCAACUUGAACCUCUCCCCCACGUCACGACAUCACCGGAUGUCCCCCUUGUCCAAUAAAUACUCACCUUGUCACGAUCUACCUUGCAUAGUUUACAUUUGGGUUCACACUGGAGUUGUGACACCAAUGCUGUUUACUGGACAUGUUAUUUUUUGCGUUUUGUGUUUUUAUUCUGAAGCGCAGAGG